UACGGAGGGUGCGAGCGUUGUCCGGAAUCACUGGGCGUAAAGGGCGCGUAGGCGGUCUGGUAAGCGUGUGGUGAAAGCCCGGGGCUCAACCCCGGGUCUGCCGUGCGAACUGCCGGACUUGAGCACUGUAGAGGCAGGUGGAAUUCCGAGUGUAGCGGUGGAAUGCGUAGAGAUUCGGAGGAACACCGGUGGCGAAGGCGGCCUGCUGGGCAGUGUCUGACGCUGAGGCGCGACAGCGUGGGGAGCAAACAGG
Molecule: ribosomal RNA, 253 nt
Filed under: uncultured bacterium
Lineage: Bacteria
Description: partial 16S ribosomal RNA
Rfam family: Bacterial small subunit ribosomal RNA
Source: RNAcentral